CUAAACAUUUACUCAGCAGUUCACACGGAGUGAAAUGCGCCGUGCCAAGAGAAACAGAGCGGCAGAGGUGACCUGCAAGGGGAGAGACGUUGAGUUUGUGCCCUGCUUUGCUCCUCUGGGCUGGAGAAAGGGCUGAAAAGGCGUCACCCCCCACCCCCACCCCUGCUUGUUCUUUACCUUGGAAAUACUAAUGGCUUAGAGGGAUUCAGGUGCAGGCCCUGGGACUAACCUGUCCCUGCCCGGCUAGCUUCAUCCCAUGCAGGAGCUGCUGUAUUCAUGGCACUUCCCAGCGAGGAGCUCCAGCGCUAGGAGCGUCCGAGUCGCACAAAAUGCAGCUCGGCGUUCAUGACCCCUGCCAAAGUGGGUAGCUGCCAGUACAAACCGGCAUCUCCAGUCUCUCUCCAGGCAGAGGAGCAGUAUGUGGCCCCCGCACAAGGCGAUGGAGGAGAUGGGUGUGUGAGGUGGCCACCCUACAUGGCAUAAAUCAGGAGUCACGCCGCUAAGCCGAUCUCUCCACACCUCAUCACUAUGGCACUUCCCUGGCCAGGAGGCUAACGUCAAUUCUAGGGGAGUCAACGCCGCCGUUCCAAGCUCAGGUUCUAACACUUCUACGGAGGCACCCUCACCUGGAGAGACCUGCAUAUAUUGGUUCAGACUGGAUUCUCCAGAGACCAACGGACGAAGAAAGGACUUUUGGAUGAACAGCCUGAGUUUAAACUGACGCCGGGCCUUCUUUUUGAUGCAGCAAAUGGACAGAUCUUUCUGUCCAAGAGGAACCCCCAUCCUGACACCUGCCGGACUUAAGGCUGGAGUAGGGGGUGAUCUCUGCGCUGAAUUCAGAAUCAGGCCUCAUAAGACUACCGGUCCACAGUCCCGGCUCCAUAGCAAAGUCUGCAAGAUCCACAUCGUGCUUCCCCGAGGCCCUGGGGUCAGAGAUGAUACCGUUUUCCUACAAGCUCUCAAAACACUUCACAACCACUUCUUGUAUUGAAUGAAGCUUUGACAACGUGCUCGGGCCGUACAAGGCGCAAAGCUGAGCUGGUCCCUGCCCCAAGGAACGUGCUAUCCAAGAGACAACCCCCGAGGAGACAGGACAUGCUGGGAGAUCCAGGGAGGGUGUUCGCUUUGCGGUUUUCUCUCCUUGGGUGUGCUGAUGUCUUUUGGGCAGUCUCAGAAGAAGUGAGGUUUAUGAGGUCGCUGAAUGAGGGGAAGGUGAGACCUGGUACCUGGGCUUUGAAGGUUAAUCGCAUCUGAAGGGGUCGGGCAACACUUAAGCUAUGUCUACACCACAGAGCUGUGCCGGAUACAUCCCAGUGUAGACAAGGCGUGCACCGACAAAUUUUUCUGUUGAUAUAGGAACACUGCCUCCCUGAACAACAAUUGCUAUGCCAAAUCGGCAGCCCUGCGUCUGCACUGGGCACUUUCUCAGCAUAGCUAUGGUGGCUGGGGGCAGGGGGGGGGGGCGUGUUUCACACCCCUGACUGAUAGAACUAGGCCGGUAUGUUUCAAGUGUAGACCAAGCCUGAAUCUGGCCAGCUUCUGCUGUACAAUUCAACACUAUGGGGUAUACAUAUUGGUCACAUGUUUUAUUCCUAUGUGUCCUUCUAUAGCAGUGGUUUUCAAACUUUUGUACUGGUGACCCCUUCCACACAGCAAGCCUCUGAGUGCCACCCCCCUUAUAAAUUAAAAACACUUUUUAUAUAUUUAACACCAUUACAAAUGCUGG
This is a non-coding RNA of Chrysemys picta bellii (western painted turtle), 1726 nucleotides long. The record is from RefSeq and is a predicted model, not a curated record. NCBI's taxonomy places the organism in Eukaryota, Metazoa, Chordata, Testudines, Emydidae.